RNAcentral lists this ribosomal RNA (486 nucleotides) under uncultured bacterium. Its description in RNAcentral is "bacterial SSU rRNA". It matches the Rfam family "Bacterial small subunit ribosomal RNA", at positions 26 to 507 of the family's 1533-position model. The record is from RNAcentral.
AGGAUGAACGCUGGCGGCGUGCUUAACACAUGCAAGUCGAACGAAGCAUUUACGACAGAUUUCUUCGGAUUGAAGUUGUUUAUGACUGAGUGGCGAACGGGUGAGUAACGCGUGAGGAACCUGCCUCAAAGAGGGGGGACAACAGUUGGAAACGACUGCUAAUACCGCAUAAGCCCACGGGUCGGCAUCGACCAGAGGGAAAAGGAGCAAUCCGCUUUGAGAUGGCCUCGCGUCCGAUUAGCUAGUUGGUAAGGUAACGGCUUACCAAGGCGACGAUCAGUAGCCGACCUGAGAGGGUGAUCGGCCACAUUGGAACUGAGACACGGUCCAAACUCCUACGGGAGGCAGCAGUGGGGAAUAUUGCACAAUGGGCGAAAGCCUGAUGCAGCAACGCCGCGUGAGCGAUGAAGGCCUUCGGGUCGUAAAGCUCUGUCCUCAAGGAAGAUAAUGACGGUACUUGAGGAGGAAGCCCCGGCUAACUACGUG